AGAGUUUGAUCCUGGCUCAGAAUGUACGCUGGCGGCACGCCUAACACAUGCAAGUCGAGCGAGGUACUUGUACCUAGCGGCAGACGGGUGCGUAACAUGUGGGAAUCUGCCUUUUGGUUCGGAACAACACGGGGAAACUUGUGCUAAUACCGGAUAAGUCCUAACGGAGAAAGAUUUAUCGCCGAGAGAUGAGCCCGCACUAGAUUAGCUUGUUGGUAAGGUAAAAGCUUACCAAGGCUACGAUCUAUAGCUGAUUUGAGAGGAUGAUCAGCCACACUGGGACUGAGACACGGCCCAGACUCCUACGGGAGGCAGCAGUGGGGAGUCUUGCACAAUGGAGGAAACUCUGAUGCAGCGAUGCCGCGUGAGUGAAGAAGGCCCUUGGGUUGUAAAGCUCUUUUGUCGGGAAAGAUAAUGACUGUACCCGAAGAAUAAGGUCCGGCUAACUUCGUGCCAGCAGCCGCGGUAAUA
This 471-nucleotide ribosomal RNA is filed under the name uncultured bacterium. Its description in RNAcentral is "bacterial SSU rRNA". It matches the Rfam family "Bacterial small subunit ribosomal RNA", at positions 8 to 525 of the family's 1533-position model. The record is from RNAcentral.